Molecule: non-coding RNA, 164 nt
Filed under: Elusimicrobiota bacterium
Lineage: Bacteria; Pseudomonadati; Elusimicrobiota
Description: Elusimicrobia bacterium c-di-GMP sequence
Rfam family: c-di-GMP-I riboswitch aptamer
About the family: GEMM was predicted in a large-scale screen for bacterial structured RNA regulatory elements. Genes associated with GEMM are involved in a diverse array of functions, including chemotaxis regulation, signal transduction, secretion and chitin.
Source: RNAcentral
AAUCGAAAAAGGCUACUCAAGGGAAACCUUGAUGAGUGCGCAAAACCAUGGAACUAAAAAGGCAAGUUAAAAUAAAAAGUAUAAAUUAAAAUUAAAAAAAAGACUUUAUUUUAACUUUUGACUUUUAAUUUGAUGUUUUGCCUUCAGUUGGCCAGGUUGCCGAA